RNAcentral lists this non-coding RNA (179 nucleotides) under uncultured Ruminococcus sp. RNAcentral describes it as "Lysine riboswitch". It matches the Rfam family "Lysine riboswitch aptamer". From Rfam's summary of the family: Riboswitches are metabolite binding domains within certain messenger RNAs that serve as precision sensors for their corresponding targets. Allosteric rearrangement of mRNA structure is mediated by ligand binding, and this results in modulation of gene expression. Lineage: Bacteria; Bacillati; Bacillota; Clostridia; Eubacteriales; Oscillospiraceae. The record is from RNAcentral.
UAAAGAUAGAGGUGCGGUCGCGAUCAGUAGGCGGCAGACGUUAACGGACAGCUCCCGGCUGUCUGGUCUGUUAGCUGAAAGGCAACACCGCCGAAGCUCUGACGCUCGGGACGUCUCUGCUGACUGUUCGGUGAACAGCCGUUCAGUUGUCAUCAUGCGUUAUGAUGGAGUGCUAUCGG